AAUUUGGAUUUUCUCGCUCUGCGAGCGAGUGAUCUCGUGCCUAUUGAAGAAUGAGCCGACGAGUUGUCGUUUAAAGCAUAGUUUAAUCCGCCUGAGGCGGAGGAGGCGUAGCGAAAGCAAGUCUUAAAAGGCGAAAAAAAGCUUUAGGCGGCAGACCCGAAACCAGGUGAGCUAUCCAUGAGCAGGGUGAAGCGAACAGAAAUGUUGGUGGAGGCCCGAACCCGUGUACGUUGCAAUGUGCUGGGAUGACUUGUGGUUAGUGGUAAUAUGCCUAACGAACCUGGAGAUAGCUGGUUCUCCCCGAAAGGUCUAUAGGGACCGUGUUAUGUUAAGUUCUGUUGGCGGUAGAGCACUAGAUGGGCUAGAGAGCGCAAGCAAUUUAGUUCAAUUAAACUCCGAAUUCCAACGUGAAUUAUCAUAAUAGACAAUCAUAUCGGGCUAAGCUGAUAUGAUGAAAGGGAAACAACCCAGACUUUCAGCUAAGGCCUCUAAAUCUACAUUAAGUUUAAAAGGAAGUCCUUUUUCUCAGACAGCCAGGAGGUUGGCUCAGAAGCAGCCACCCUUUAAAGAUAGCGUAACAGCUCACUGGUCGAUGGGAAGGGGCGCCUAAGAUUUAUCGAGGAUUAAAUGUAGUGCCGAAGCUAGAGAUUCCCGCUUGUAGAACAGGAAUGCCAAAUAAACCAAUAAGUACCAAUAAAUACAAAUUCCCAAUUGGGCAUUUGAAAUUGGUAUUUAUUUGAAAUUUGACAUUUCCCGCUCUGCGAGCGGGUCUGGUAGGGGAGCGUCCCGCCUGUUGUGAAGCAAAAUUGUGAGAUUUUGUGGAACGAGCGGGAGUGAGAAUGUCGGCUUGAGUAGCGUACAACACUAGUGAGAAUCUAGUGCGCCGAAUACCCAAGGUUUCCACUGCAAGGUUCGUCCGCAGUGGGUUAGUCGGUACCUAAGGCGAGGCCAUAAUGGCGUAGUCGAUGGAAGAGCAGUUAAAAUUCUGCUAUUUACCGUAAAUCGUUUGACUUGGGGGUUGA
This 1022-nucleotide ribosomal RNA is filed under the name Candidatus Woesebacteria bacterium. RNAcentral describes it as "partial 23S ribosomal RNA". It matches the Rfam family "Bacterial large subunit ribosomal RNA", at positions 568 to 1472 of the family's 2925-position model. The record is from RNAcentral. Lineage: Bacteria; Candidatus Woeseibacteriota.